UACGUAGGGUGCGAGCGUUAAUCGGAAUUACUGGGCGUAAAGCGCGCGCAGGCGGCCUUUUAAGUCCGACGGUGAAAUGCCGGGGCUCAACCCCGUGCCCGCCGCGGAUACUGGGAGGCUGGAGACGAGUAGAGGCAAGCGGAAUUCCGGGUGUAGCGGUGGAAUGCGUAGAGAUCCGGAAGAACACCGGAGGCGAAGGCGGCUUGCUGGGCUCGGUCUGACGCUGAGGCGCGAAAGCUAGGGGAGCAAACGGG
RNAcentral lists this ribosomal RNA (254 nucleotides) under uncultured bacterium. RNAcentral's name for it is "partial 16S ribosomal RNA". It matches the Rfam family "Bacterial small subunit ribosomal RNA", at positions 524 to 776 of the family's 1533-position model. The record is from RNAcentral.